CUAAUCUGUUUAGAAAUGAAGUCUAUCUAAAAGUGCUGAAACAAAAUUUUAUUAUCGAUCUUAUAUACAAAAUUUAAAAAUUUAUAAAAAAAUUAUUGUUUUGAAUUUUUAAACUGGUAGUUUUUCUAUCCUUCCGGCGGCAUCUCUGUAUCCUACACAAACUUUAACAGAAAUCCGUUUUUAAAAAUUUAUAAAAAAUUUCUAAUUAUUAUUUUUUGAUAGUUAGAAUGUCGAAUAUUUUAUUAUUACAUAAGACGGAAGUUAAUAAUGACGGUUACAUUAUAUAUAUAUAAAGCGUAGUACGAAAGGAAUGAGUAUUUACGACACUUCAAAUAUUUAUCUGUAGGAUGUUCAACAUUAUAGGAUAGAAUUACUAAAGAAACAUAGUUUUAGAAACAUCCAAUAGUUUUAAGAAAAGUUGAUGUUUUUCUCUUAUUGAAAUAAAAAUUGUAGAGAGAGAGAAAAAGAGGAAAAAAAAAAAAUGUAUGCAGCGCAUGAAGCGGUUUUAAGAAUUCUCUCUCACUCCAUUACCGCAUCGGUGACUCCAUCUUCAAACCACUUUCUGGAUCUCGACCUUUGCGACGGAAACUGGAGUUCUUCCCAAGAGAUUCAACGUUUUCUCUCAUUCUGUACACGUGGUGCCAAUAUAUGGUAUUGCUACGUGCUUAACUUGUCAAUCAAUCCUUACACCGAUUUGUUCCGGUGUAAAUAACAAACAGCAAACACAGACUUUCUGAACACGUUUCAAAUAUCGCGAUAUCUUUUUCGCUGCUUCUCUUUGCAUGAAGCAACAAGUUAUUUGUUGAUGCUUUCGCUAGCUUAGAAAAAUCCGAGAACACAUAAUAAUAUAAGAAUUUUUAUUUUAUUUUUUGAAACUUUAAGUUGGCAACAC
RNAcentral lists this long non-coding RNA (892 nucleotides) under Androctonus crassicauda. Lineage: Eukaryota; Metazoa; Arthropoda; Arachnida; Scorpiones; Buthidae. The record is from RNAcentral.